Etheostoma cragini (Arkansas darter) is the source of this 606-nucleotide long non-coding RNA. RefSeq lists it as uncharacterized. The transcript is spliced from 2 exons. The record is from RefSeq and is a predicted model, not a curated record. Lineage: Eukaryota; Metazoa; Chordata; Actinopteri; Perciformes; Percidae.
AAUCUGUGAAAAAAUCAAGCUCCUGUGGCUCCUCCCUGUGCUCCUACUGCCACUUGCAGAAAUACACCGCUCCCGGUCAGGAACAGCCAAUCAGAGCCAGGAGGAGUGUCUUAGCAGUGUCAAUCACUCUCGUGUACGUACGCGCUGCUCAUACCCCUCCCCCGCACAGCGCGUGCCCUUCAAGCUCAAGAUUGCCAGUGUACUGCAGCUGUGCUAAUCGCGGAGAAACAACUUUUCAGGAAAACUGCCAAUUUCUCGAGUGACACCUGCUCAGAAAACAAAGACGGUCAAACAGAAGAAGACCGACAACAAAAAGCGAGCUAAAAAGAAAGAAUCAAACCGAGCCCGAAAUAAAACAAGGGUCAACAUCAGAGCGUCUUUUCAGAGGUGGAGGGAGCUACGCCUCCUGAAAGGGUUCAACACGGAUUCAGAGCUAGCGUUAGCCACAUUUCUGCUUGACAUGUCAGACAUUGCCCCGGACAUAGAGGCACGUGAAGGAAUCGUCUUUCAGUCCAAAUCAAAAUGUUCAGUAUUUCCUUGUGCAGGAGUACUUUGCAAAAAAAGCUGAUUUAUUUUACCCAUAUGCUAAUAAAACCUACAUAUUUC